GACGAACGCUGGCGGCGUGCUUAACACAUGCAAGUCGAACGGAAAGGCCCUGCUUUUGUGGGGUGCUCGAGUGGCGAACGGGUGAGUAACACGUGAGUAACCUGCCCUUGACUUUGGGAUAACUUCAGGAAACUGGGGCUAAUACCGGAUAGGAGCUCCUGCUGCAUGGUGGGGGUUGGAAAGUUUCGGCGGUUGGGGAUGGACUCGCGGCUUAUCAGCUUGUUGGUGAGGUAGUGGCUUACCAAGGCUUUGACGGGUAGCCGGCCUGAGAGGGUGACCGGUCACAUUGGGACUGAGAUACGGCCCAGACUCCUACGGGAGGCAGCAGUGGGGAAUAUUGCACAAUGGGCGGAAGCCUGAUGCAGCAACGCCGCGUGCGGGAUGACGGCCUUCGGGUUGUAAACCGCUUUCGCCUGUGACGAAGCGUGAGUGACGGUAAUGGGUAAAGAAGCACCGGCUAACUACGUG
RNAcentral lists this ribosomal RNA (468 nucleotides) under uncultured bacterium. RNAcentral describes it as "partial 16S ribosomal RNA". It matches the Rfam family "Bacterial small subunit ribosomal RNA", at positions 28 to 507 of the family's 1533-position model. The record is from RNAcentral.